UAGAGUUUGAUCCUGGCUCAGAUUGAACGCUGGCGGCAUGCUUUACACAUGCAAGUCGAACGGUAACAGGUCUUCGGAUGCUGACGAGUGGCGAACGGGUGAGUAAUACAUCGGAACGUGCCUAGUAGUUGGGGAUAACUACUCGAAAGAGUAGCUAAUACCGCAUGAGAUCUACGGAUGAAAGCAGGGGACCUUCGGGCCUUGUGCUACUAGAGCGGCUGAUGGCAGAUUAGGUAGUUGGUGGGGUAAAGGCUUACCAAGCCUGCGAUCUGUAGCUGGUCUGAGAGGACGACCAGCCACACUGGGACUGAGACACGGCCCAGACUCCUACGGGAGGCAGCAGUGGGGAAUUUUGGACAAUGGGCGAAAGCCUGAUCCAGCAAUGCCGCGUGCAGGAUGAAGGCCCUCGGGUUGUAAACUGCUUUUGUACGGAACGAAAAGCCUGGGGCUAAUAUCCCCGGGUCAUGACGGUACCGUAGGAUAGCACCGGCUACUACGUGCCAGCAGCGCGGUAAUACGUAGUGCAGCGUAAUCGAUACUGGGGCGUAA
Molecule: ribosomal RNA, 549 nt
Filed under: uncultured bacterium
Lineage: Bacteria
Description: bacterial SSU rRNA
Rfam family: Bacterial small subunit ribosomal RNA
Source: RNAcentral